GAUGAAGAACGCAGCGAAAUGCAAUAAGUAAUGUGAAUUGCAGAAUUCAGUGAAUCAUCGAAUCUUUGAACGCACAUUGCGCCCCCUGGUAUUCCGGGGGGCAUGCCUGUCCGAGCGUCAUUACAACCCUCAAGCUCAGCUUGGUGUUGGGCCCCGCCGCCCCGGCGGGCCCUAAAGUCAGUGGCGGUGCCGUCCGGCUCCGAGCGUAGUAAUUCUUCUCGCUCUGGAGGUCCGGUCGUGUGCUUGCCAGCAACCCCCAAUUUUUUUCAGGUUGACCUCGGAUCAGGUAGGGAUACCCGCUGAACUUAAGCAUAUCAAUAAGCGGAGGA
RNAcentral lists this unclassified non-coding RNA (329 nucleotides) under soil metagenome. Its description in RNAcentral is "partial contains 5.8S ribosomal RNA, internal transcribed spacer 2, and large subunit ribosomal RNA". The stretch from base 1 to 120 matches the Rfam family "5.8S ribosomal RNA", at positions 35 to 154 of the family's 154-position model. The record is from RNAcentral.